GGACUACCGGGGUUUCUAAUCCUGUUUGCUACCCACGCUUUCGUGUCUCAGCGUCAGUUACGGUCCAGAGAGCCGUCUACACCACCGGUGUUCCUCCUGAUAUCUACGCAUUUCACCGCUACACCAGGAAUUCCACUCUCCUCUCCCGUACUCUAGUCCUUCAGUAUUCGGCGCACCCUCCCAGUUGAGCCGGGAGAUUUCACACCAAACUUAGAGAACCGCCUACACACCCUUUACGCCCAGUAACUCCGAACAACGCUUGCUGCCUACGUAUUACCGCGGCUGCUGGCAC
RNAcentral lists this ribosomal RNA (292 nucleotides) under uncultured Acidobacteriota bacterium. RNAcentral's name for it is "uncultured Acidobacteria bacterium partial 16S ribosomal RNA". Lineage: Bacteria; Pseudomonadati; Acidobacteriota. The record is from RNAcentral.